Molecule: long non-coding RNA, 984 nt
Organism: Megalobrama amblycephala (Wuchang bream)
Lineage: Eukaryota; Metazoa; Chordata; Actinopteri; Cypriniformes; Xenocyprididae
Exons: 3
Source: RefSeq, a predicted model, not a curated record
CUUCUCGCAAGAUUCGGCCCGUAUCCGUGGAAACGAGCGCGCGAAUUUUUUUCUGGAGUUUAGAAGGAGGCAGCCACAGACGGUGCUCGGAGCUGUAAGGAAUAACCAGCCCUCUACCAGUGCAGCAGAUUCUUGCCUUUGACUGUGGCGGUGGCCAGAAGGAAUGUGCCAAAGCCAAAGAGGCCUUAACUGAGAUGCCUCAUGGGAAUUAAACGGCACAUAUGAAGUGGUUUGUAAUACCAUGGUUUUCCGACCUGUCCUGAUUGGUUCUUGAUAUGUUUAUGGUUCAUUAUAUGAAAUUAUUUUUUGUAUGCUUUUUUCCCCCCAUUUCUUCUAUAUUUUUCUUCUUUAAAUAUACAUUAAAAAAAGUCUUGAGAUUGUUUAACUGUUCAUGUAUCAGUGUUUUAAAGGAUAGUUCACCGGAAAAUGAAAAAUUGCUGCUAAUUUACUCACCCUCAAGCCAUCCAUGAUGUAGGUGACAUUUUUUCUUCAGUUUACACAAACGAUUUUUAGCGUGGUCCUUGGUGAUUCGUAUAAUGCAAGUCAAUGGCUACUGUCACUUUGAGAGUCAUAAAAACAUAUUACAGGCCAAACAAAGUUAAUACCUGUGACUGAUGCUGACGUUACAUUGAGGUCUUAUGAAUCAUCCGGAGCCACAGGUAUUCUUUUUGUUUUGCCUGUAUAUGUUUUUUUGAGUUUCCAACUGACUGUAGCCAUUGACUUUUAUAUUAUACUUUUAUAUUAUACAAACCACCAAGGACCACAUUUUCAGCUAAAAAUCUUCUUUACUGAUAGUAAAUUAACGUUAAAUUUUCAUUUUUGGGUGAAUGAUCCCUUUAAGCUUAGUGAAUAUGAUGUAACUAGAGACUUAAAUGAUUAGUUCACUUUCAAAUGAAAAUUACCCCAAGCUUUACUCACCCUCAAGCUUAAUACUUUAAUAUAUCUCCGAUUGUGUUCAUCAGAAAGUCAUAUACACCUAGAAUG